RNAcentral lists this ribosomal RNA (1410 nucleotides) under Triticum aestivum (bread wheat). Its description in RNAcentral is "partial small subunit ribosomal RNA". The record is from RNAcentral. Lineage: Eukaryota; Viridiplantae; Streptophyta; Magnoliopsida; Poales; Poaceae.
GUCGCCCCACCCUCCCCACCUUCUCUGCGCGCUGCGUCCUACCCGAAACGAAUCCCGGCUUCCUCGCCUCCUUCUGCUCCCGGCCGGCGCCGCCCCGACUCCUCUACCUCCUGGUCGGCAUCAUCGCACCUUCUAUUCGUCACCCCGACCACCUACUCCGGUCACACCUCCCCCAACCCCGCCGCCGGGCACUGCCCCACCACCUCCACUGCAUCGUGCUGCUGUCGCCCUUGCUCGCGGGCCCCCCUCCACCUUCUCCAAUCACGGCCCCUACCACUACCUCCUACCACUUCGCUUCGCCGCCGGCCAGCGGGGGAGCCGGAUCCCCACGCCACCAGGGCUACCGUGAGCCAUCUCCGUCCUCCUAGAUACCAACUCCCCCAGCCAGCGCCGCCCAACCCCUGGCCACUCGCCCCUCCCCCUCAGCUGCGUGGUGGCCGACGACUCCGGUGGCUCUCCGUCCACGGAUUCGGCCGUCCCCCGACCACCGGACCACGGGCAGUGAGUUCCUCAGGUGAGAUCUCCGACGAGAUCUCCUGCAUCCCCUUCCCUCCUGUGAGCUGGCCUGAAGACAGUCGAGGCUCCCGAUGCAGUUUGAUUUCGUGGGUGGCGUCGUGCGGUGUGUGUGUCUUGCAGCUCAGAGCGAGCGGGCAUGCAGCUCUGAACGAUUCGGCCGCCUGCACACACUGAAUCCAUCUCAGUCCCGCGAGCGGCAGUAGCUACGGGAGCAUAGCAGCAGGUGGCGGUGUCCCAAGGAGGUCGUUUGAUCCAUUGCUCGUGGCCUCCGCUUGCUCCGCCGCUAGCUGCUAUCUCUAAACAUCAUAGCUUCUGCUCCCGACUGCAGGUUUGCCUCCAUCCUGUGACCAAGUGUUAGUUUUUUCCUCUCUGAAUUGAUUCCUCACCGCUGCAGACUUUUGAAGCAACUACUAUUGUCCCAUGAAGUAUCUACUGUUUAGCUUUUUUCUCCUCUGAUUUUACCGUCGAAUAUUGCUGCUGUAGCUUGUUUGUGCGCACAAAGAAGAAAUAAAAGGGAAAAGGCACAUACGGUGGUGGAAGGAUAAGAAGUGUGUGGCGAGGCUAGUCUAUGGAUGAAAUCUUUGCAUCUUUUUCAGCUCAUCCAGCAUGCUCUGCUCUAUAGGACGGUGAUCGCAGGCUGUUCGCUUCUGUUUGCGCAGGAUAUUGUGCAAAAUUCCCAGUUUUUUGUGGUUUGCUCGCUAUGUAAAAAAUGCAGUUUAUUUGUAACGAUGCUUGUGGUUUGCUUGCUAUUUAAAAAGUGUAGUCCAUCCCAUCGGUCAUGUUUUUUGAGAAAACAAUUUGUAUUGUCACACAUGGUGGUUUCACUUAUGUGUAUGCUUGCAAUGCGGUGUGUGUAUGCGUGCAGUGCGCUCCUGUGGUUUCCUUUGUAACGAC